This is a long non-coding RNA of Brassica napus (rape), 655 nucleotides long. RefSeq lists it as uncharacterized. NCBI's taxonomy places the organism in Eukaryota, Viridiplantae, Streptophyta, Magnoliopsida, Brassicales, Brassicaceae. The transcript is spliced from 2 exons. The record is from RefSeq and is a predicted model, not a curated record.
AUUUGUGUGGAGCUAUAUUGAUAGGCAUGUAACGUACGUCAAUUACUUUACGUUUCUUUGCAGAUAAUAAAUUGUAUUUAUCUGUGUAUUUAACUGUUUCGGAUGAUGAUAAAAUGAUUCGGAAUGAAUCAUGUCUACAAUGUACUCUGAAAAUCAAGGAUAAGAUGAGCACCGAACUGUGGGUGAGGUGUGAGGACUGUGUAAGGAGCAUGAACAUAGGAAGGAGAAAGCUCAAAGGAGAAUCUCUGUAGAAUCAACGCCAGAGCCAUCUUUGUCUCCAUCAGAGCAAAAUUUUGGCCAAUGCAGAUCCUUGGUCCCCACGCAAAGGGAAAGAAAGAGACUUGGCCAUUUGUUGCCUUUGAGACACCGUCUUUGAACCUCCCGGGCUUGAACUCCUCUGCAUCGUUGCCCCAUAGUUGUGUGUCACGAUGGACUAGCAGAAUAGGAAGAUUGAUCUGAACGCCUCCGGGCAGUGUCAGGUCGCCUAGCUUUAUCUCUUUGUGAAUGGCUCGGGUCAGCUGCGCUGCUGGAGGAUAUAGCCUUAGGACCUCAUAUAGUAUCAUUGUCAUCUGUUGGAAGCAUUCAUUAAAAUCAUCAUAACACAACAAACGUACUGAAGUCACUUGCAAAUUUUUUAAUUUAGUUUUACUGACCA